AACGCAGAAAUACCCAGCUAACAAAGCACAGACUCCGGACUCACGUUUCGAGACGCUUCUCGACUUCCGCGGCUGUCGUCGCGGGUGUCCCCGUCCUCGUUGGAAUGGCUCUGCUCACACAGCGAUUGUGAAAAGGAAGCAGAGAUGAGGUCACUGCACAGUGCAAGCCUGAUGCGACACAGGUGUUUCACACACAGCUCUACGUGUAACAUAACAGCUCACCUUGUCCUCGGAGGUGCUUUGGACUGAAUCUGAGGCCUGUGAAACAAUAAAAUGUAACCGAAUUGGAUAAGAUGGAAGCCAGAUGUACCUCCUCUGAUACAUCAACCUCCACAAAAGCUGUAAGACAUUCUACCUCAUUAGUUUUUAUAUGGCCGCUGCUCAAGGUCUGCUGCCUGACUCAUCUCCAUCAAUCAGGAGGCCAAAUUUCACAGCAAAGAACCCCAGCACUUCACACUAAUAUGGGCCCAUGAACAGGGCCAAUCUAAGCCCACAUGGCUCCCUAGGAAAGCUUCACCACUGGCGCCCCCUGUCUGUCGCAAAGUGAAACUGACAGGCUAAGCCGCUGCUUACCGUUUUCUCUGAAGUGUUCUCUUGGGAGCUCUGCAAAAACAAAGAAUAAAUUAUGCAUUUUUUUU
This is a long non-coding RNA of Brienomyrus brachyistius, 638 nucleotides long. RefSeq lists it as uncharacterized. The record is from RefSeq and is a predicted model, not a curated record. Lineage: Eukaryota; Metazoa; Chordata; Actinopteri; Osteoglossiformes; Mormyridae. The transcript has 3 exons.